This 269-nucleotide ribosomal RNA is filed under the name uncultured bacterium. RNAcentral's name for it is "partial 16S ribosomal RNA". It matches the Rfam family "Bacterial small subunit ribosomal RNA", at positions 524 to 796 of the family's 1533-position model. The record is from RNAcentral.
UACAGAGGGUGCAAGCGUUAAUCGGAAUUACUGGGCGUAAAGCGCGCGUAGGUGGUUUGAUAAGCGAGAUGUGAAAGCCCCGGGCUUAACCUGGGAACGGCAUUUCGAACUGUCAGGCUAGAGUAUGGUAGAGGAGUGUGGAAUUUCCUGUGUAGCGGUGAAAUGCGUAGAUAUAGGAAGGAACACCAGUGGCGAAGGCGGCACUCUGGACCAAUACUGACACUGAAAUACGAAACGUGGACAAACAGGAUUAGAUACCCGGGUAGUCC